AGUCGAGCGGAUGAAGGGAGCUUGCUCUUGGAUUCAGCGGCGGACGGGUGAGUAAUGCCUAGGAAUCUGCCUGGUAGUGGGGGAUAACGUCCGGAAACGGGCGCUAAUACCGCAUACGUCCUGAGGGAGAAAGUGGGGGAUCUUCGGACCUCACGCUAUCAGAUGAGCCUAGGUCGGAUUAGCUAGUUGGUGGGGUAAAGGCCUACCAAGGCGACGAUCUGUAACUGGUCUGAGAGGAUGAUCAGUCACACUGGAACUGAGACACGGUCCAGACUCCUACGGGAGGCAGCAGUGGGGAAUAUUGGACAAUGGGCGAAAGCCUGAUCCAGCCAUGCCGCGUGUGUGAAGAAGGUCUUCGGAUUGUAAAGCACUUUAAGUUGGGAGGAAGGGCAGUAAGUUAAUACCUUGCUGUUUUGACGUUACCAACAGAAUAAGCACCGGCUAACUUCGUGCCAGCAGCCGCGGUAAUACGAAGGGUGCAAGCGUUAAUCGGAAUUACUGGGCGUAAAGCGCGCGUAGGUGGUUCAGCAAGUUGGAUGUGAAAUCCCCGGGCUCAACCUGGGAACUGCAUCCAAAACUACUGAGCUAGAGUACGGUAGAGGGUGGUGGAAUUUCCUGUGUAGCGGUGAAAUGCGUAGAUAUAGGAAGGAACACCAGUGGCGAAGGCGACCACCUGG
RNAcentral lists this ribosomal RNA (677 nucleotides) under uncultured Pseudomonadaceae bacterium. Its description in RNAcentral is "SSU rRNA". It matches the Rfam family "Bacterial small subunit ribosomal RNA", at positions 60 to 732 of the family's 1533-position model. The record is from RNAcentral. Lineage: Bacteria; Pseudomonadati; Pseudomonadota; Gammaproteobacteria; Pseudomonadales; Pseudomonadaceae.